GCUAUCGCUGGUCUACGAUAUGUCUAUAGUAAUACAAACGGAGCAUCACCAAAGCUUCUAGAAGCCCUGAAAAGGGCGGCCACCUUAGACAGGCGGAUAAGAGAUCUUUUGAGGCGACAUAAAUGUCGGUUUCGAAAUAACUUUGUCGAGAGGCUGUAUAUUCCUAGAGAAUGUGGUGGAUACGGGUUGAAAUCAGUGGAGGAUACGCUGCGAGAGAGUAUCCUCGCUACAUGGAGUUACAUCGCCACGAACCCGCAUUUGGCUGGACAACAGCACUUCUUCGAGAGGCUUGCAGCAAGAGGCAAGCGCACCCCGAUGGCGGACGGGGUAAAGAUAUUGUUGGAUCUGGGAGUGGAACCCCAGGUGGACUUGAAGCGAAGGACGGUGACCGUCGACGGUAUAGUCUUCGAAGACCCGACCAAGCUUCAUCGAUACCUGGUGGGAAAGCUCUUAAAAGCAAGAACUGAGGCGAGGAUUCGAAGAUGGAAGGAAGCCAGCUUAGCUGGACGGUUGGUAAAUGACACAAGUAUUGAUAUGCGACUAUCAUGCUUGUGGAUGAAAAAAGGUUUUGUGAGUGCGAGGAACCUCAGAGAUGCGCUUGCUGUGCAAGAGGGGAGUUUGCUUACUAGAGCAUGCCCUGCUCUAAAGGGUAAAGGCGGCCAAGAAGUUUGCCGGUGUUGCCAUGCAGCGCCGGAAACUGCAGAGCACAUAACAUCAGCCUGCCGCUAUUGGCUUCCUAGUCUCUAUGUUGAGAGACAUGACUCGGUAGCAAGGAACCUCUAUUACGUCAUAUGCUGCCGCUACGGCAUAACACCGGUGCAUUACUCAAAUAGGGUAUCACCGCUCUCGGAGAAUAGCCAAUGCCGCGUUCUUUGGAACAUGGAUAUGCAGACUCGGACGCCAAUGAAGCAUCGAAAGCCUGAUAUAGUCGUCUUUGAUCUCAAGAGGGAAAAGAUCCUCAUGUUCGAAGUUUCGAUAGCCCAUGCCAGUGGGUUAUUGAAACAGCGGGAAAUCAAGAUCAAUCGGUAUACGGUGAACUCCGAAGAGUUGCCUGAUGAGACCAUAACACCGUAUCCGCCUGGGCCGAAUUUGGCCGCUGACCUCGCUGCCACCUAUGGUUGGCAGGUUGAAUUUGCCCCAGUGGUGGUUGGCACGUGUGGUGAGCACGUACCAGCCGUCAAAGAGGACCUGCAAAGAACGUUGGAUCUAAAACCUCAUCAAGUCGAAGCCCUUCUUGAAAGGAUAUCCCGAUCGGCGGUGAUCGGAACGGCUAGAGUAGUCCGAGCACACCUCGCCUGCUCUUAGUCGCUAAGGGGUCCGGAAAUGGUCCGGUCCUGCGCUACCCGGUCUGGUAGCACGUUCAAGCGCUCAAUCGCCUGCCUUGUAGGCAGUCCAUCUGUGGAAGUCGCGCUCUUGAUACAGAUGUGGACGGAUGGAAGCAGAUGAUAGAGGCCGGUGACGGCCCUACUAGCCAAACGCAUGACGCGCAUGAAUGGAUUAACGAGAUUCCCACUGUCCCUAUCUACUAUCUAGCGAAACCACAGCCAAGGGAACGGGCUUGGCGAACACAGCGGGGAAAGAAGACCCUGUUGAGCUUGACUCUAGUCCGACUCUGUGAAGAGUCAUGAGAGGUGUAGCAUAAGUGGGAGGCUUUGGCCAACAGUGAAAUACCACUACUUUCAUCGAUUCUUUACUUAUUCGGUAAGACGAGAAUUGAGCCUAUCCGGCUCUUCAUUCUGGUGUUAAGUGCAGCCACUCGGUGGCCGUUCGACCGCGCCGAAGACCANCCUCGUCAUCUAAUUAAUGACGCGCAUGAAUGGAUUAACGAGAUUCCCACUGUCCCUAUCUACUAUCUAGCGAAACCACAGCCAAGGGAACGGGCUUGGCGAACACAGCGGGGAAAGAAGACCCUGUUGAGCUUGACUCUAGUCCGACUCUGUGAAGAGUCAUGAGAGGUGUAGCAUAAGUGGGAGGCUUUGGCCAACAGUGAAAUACCACUACUUUCAUCGAUUCUUUACUUAUUCGGUAAGACGAGAAUUGAGCCUAUCCGGCUCUUCAUUCUGGUGUUAAGUGCAGCCACUCGGUGGCCGUUCGACCGCGCCGAAGACCAGUGUCAGGCGGGGAGUUUGACUGGGGCGGUACAUCUGUCAAAUCGUAACGCAGGUGUCCUAAGGCUAGCUCAGAGAGGACGGAAACCUCUCGUAGAGCAAAAGGGCAAAAGCUCGCUUGAUCUUGAUUUCCAGUACGAAUACAGACCGCGAAAGCGUGGCCUAUCGAUCCUUUUGAAUUAGAAGGUCUCUAGCAAGAGGUGUCAGAAAAGUUACCACAGGGAUAACUGGCUUGUGGCAGCCAAGCGUCCAUAGCGACGUUGCUUUUUGAUCCUUCGAUGUCGGCUCUUCCUAUCAUUGCGAAGCAGAAUUCGCCAAGCGUUGGAUUGUUCACCCACCAAUAGGGAACGUGAGCUGGGUUUAGACCGUCGUGAGACAGGUUAGUUUUACCCUACUGUGACUCGUUGUUGCGAUAGUAAUCCUGCUUAGUACGAGAGGAACCGCAGGUUCAGACAUUUGGUUCAUGUGCUUGGCCGAUCGGCCAAUGGUGCGAAGCUACCAUCUGAGGGAUUAUGACUGAACGCCUCUAAGUCAGAAUCCCGCCUAGUGAAGGCAACGAUAAAUUUGCUCGCCGGUGUCGGGAGGCACUUCUAUGUAACUUUUAAAGUUACAGCUAAUGCCCCAUUAUAUGGUCUUUCCGAACGAUUGAAAAGUCGUGCGGUUGCCAAAGCCGGACUACACGGUACAACGUCGGGGCGCAAAAUCACUUGCAGACGACUUGAUUACUGGUCAAGGUGUUGUAUCCAGUAGAGCAGCCUCCAUACUGCGAUCUGUUGAGACUCAUCCUUUGAUUGGACGAUUUGUUU
Molecule: ribosomal RNA, 2914 nt
Filed under: Ascaris suum (pig roundworm)
Lineage: Eukaryota; Metazoa; Nematoda; Chromadorea; Rhabditida; Ascarididae
Description: eukaryotic LSU rRNA
Rfam family: Eukaryotic large subunit ribosomal RNA (bases 1409-2912)
Source: RNAcentral